GAUGAACGCUAGCGAUAGGCUUAACACAUGCAAGUCGAGGGGCAGCAUGGUCUUAGCUUGCUAAGACUGAUGGCGACCGGCGCACGGGUGCGUAACGCGUAUGCAACUUGCCUCACAGAGGGGGAUAACCCGUCGAAAGACGGACUAAUACCGCGUACACUCUAUUUUGGGCAUCCAAGGUAGAGGAAAUGAAAUUCGCUGUGAGAUAGGCAUGCGUCCCAUUAGCUAGUUGGUGAGGUAACGGCUCACCAAGGCGACGAUGGGUAGGGGAACUGAGAGGUUGAACCCCCACACUGGUACUGAGACACGGACCAGACUCCUACGGGAGGCAGCAGUGAGGAAUAUUGGUCAAUGGGCGAGGGCCUGAACCAGCCAAGUCGCGUGAAGGAUGACUGUCUUAUGGAUUGUAAACUUCUUUUGUAGGGGAAUAAAGAGGGGCACGUGUGCCCCAGUGAAUGUACCCGACGAAUAAGCAGCGGCUAACUCCGUG
This 490-nucleotide ribosomal RNA is filed under the name uncultured bacterium. RNAcentral's name for it is "partial 16S ribosomal RNA". It matches the Rfam family "Bacterial small subunit ribosomal RNA", at positions 28 to 507 of the family's 1533-position model. The record is from RNAcentral.